AACCACACGGGGUCCACAGCGAUCCCUGAUCCGCUACCCUUCCUUCGUCUCUCGCCACCGGACGCUUUGGGCUCGCUGCUCCCAUGGCGUCCUCUUUCUUCGUUCGCACUCAAGUAUCGCCCAUGACUCCGCUGCUGCCGGACGCCUCCCAGAGGUCGGCGUCGAUGCCCACUAUGUCCGAGAUCAUGGACGCCUCCCGGACGCAGGGCCUCCGCCUCCGCCUCCAGUCGCUGGGGCCCUUCUUCCGCGUGCGGGCGGAGGCCGAGGGCGGGGCGGAGCUGGGGAGGGCAGAGGGUGUCGUCAGGCCGUGGGUCGGGGGCAAGGUGCUGCACCUGGACUCCAUGAGGCUCAGCCGGGACACGCUCCGCAUGGACCGCUCUAUCUUCGGCUUCGGCCUCUUCAUUGGUGCCGCCGCCGUCCGCCACGGCUUCGACCGAGGUUGCCGCCGGGCCGAGCUCCUCGCCAUAAACGACUCGCCUCUCUUUCAUUCCAAGGGGAUGAAACUAUAUAUAUCAGCGACAACUGUUUACAUACAAGGGGGGUGGAGAACAUCAUCACCCACAUGCUGCUCAGGUCAGUACACCUCGCAAGGAAAGGAAAAUUAACUGCAGGAGCAGGUGGUGGGCACUGAAGAAGUUCUCUGAGGUAGCCUUUCAAGUCCUCCUUGUGAGUCAACUUGACUCUUCUAUAUGCUACGAGUUGCAGUGAACCUUGGAUGCUUGUCAUACUCCUGCCAGUGAUAUAAAGUGGUGGAUGAUCCAUAUAUUAAACCAGUUUUAGCCAGUGACUGGAAUCUGAAGCUGGUGGCACGCCACAAAGCAGCAACAGGAAGCGCCGAGCAAUUCCAAACACAGUGCAGCCGCCUGGCACAGCUGCUGCAUCCGAUAGCACCAGAAGCCUCUCGUUGCUCUGAGACCAUCAGCUUCACCACUUCCAACACCGAGCAUAAGAAACAAGUAAAAGAAGGGGGCAAGCAUUCAUGGACGAGUGACAAGAGAUGGGAAACAAAAGGACAACUCGCAAUUCAUUCCUACAAAGUCACUCGAUGGCUUCUGUCCUCGGGGAUGUGUUUGUCUUCCUCCAGACUUUUUUGACUGCACUCGGCCGGCCUUCCUUUCACUUUGAGCUACGUCUUUUACCCCCUUCUCUGCCCAGGUCCUCAAAGCCAUACUCGUAUGAAGCUAGCUAAUAAACCGUACUUUUGUUGCAGAACAUGUCAUGGUCCAUUAGCAUCCGAUUUCCACUCGGAUCAUUGCAACCUUCUUCUCUUGCUGCUUGUCGUCGCAAGAGAGACAGUGCAGCCGGUGCCGGUGUCGGUGGUGCUCUCACAGUUUGCAGGUGAUGUCCCGGAUGAAGCCAGAAACGUCGCUGCUCUCGCCUUCUCCUUGUGUGACUCGAGAACAAUGAGACUGUAGCAGGAGAACACAUACUCCUGUCCACACAAACAUGUUGGUGCAUUAACACAUGAGUCAACUUCUAUUUCCUAAGAAACCAAUAUAUGCAUAGCUUAUAGCUUCA
Musa acuminata AAA Group (dessert banana) is the source of this 1518-nucleotide RNA transcript. RefSeq lists it as uncharacterized. The record is from RefSeq and is a predicted model, not a curated record. The transcript has 3 exons. Lineage: Eukaryota; Viridiplantae; Streptophyta; Magnoliopsida; Zingiberales; Musaceae.